RNAcentral lists this transfer RNA (76 nucleotides) under Stagnimonas sp. Its description in RNAcentral is "tRNA-Phe". It matches the Rfam family "tRNA". From Rfam's summary of the family: Transfer RNA (tRNA) molecules are approximately 80 nucleotides in length. Their secondary structure includes four short double-helical elements and three loops (D, anti-codon, and T loops). The record is from RNAcentral. Lineage: Bacteria; Pseudomonadati; Pseudomonadota; Gammaproteobacteria; Nevskiales; Nevskiaceae.
GCUGCGGUAGCUCAGAAGGUAGAGCGUCUGGUUGAAAGCCAGAGCGUCGCUGGUUCAAUUCCAGCCCACAGCACCA